CCUACGGGGUGCAGCAGUGGGGAGUAUUGCACAAUGGGCGCAAGCCUGAUGCAGCCAUGCCGCGUGUAUGAAGAAGGCCUUCGGGUUGUAAAGUACUUUCAGCGGGGAUGAAGGGAGUAAAGUUAAUACCUUUGCUCAUUGACGUUACCCGCAGAAGAAGCACCGGCUAACUCCGUGCCAGCAGCCGCGGUAAUACGGAGGGUGCAAGCGUUAAUCGGAAUUACUGGGCGUAAAGCGCACGCAGGCGGUUUGUUAAGUCGGAUGUGAAAUCCCCGGGCUCAACCUGGGAACUGCAUUCGAAACUGGCAGGCUGGAGUCUUGUAGAGGGGGGUAGAAUUCCAGGUGUAGCGGUGAAAUGCGUAGAGAUCUGGAGGAAUACCGGUGGCGAAGGCGGCCCCCUGGACGAAGACUGACGCUCAGGUGCGAAAGCGUGGGGAGCAAACAGGAUUAGAUACCCCGGUAGUC
RNAcentral lists this ribosomal RNA (465 nucleotides) under uncultured bacterium. RNAcentral's name for it is "bacterial SSU rRNA". It matches the Rfam family "Bacterial small subunit ribosomal RNA", at positions 338 to 795 of the family's 1533-position model. The record is from RNAcentral.